AUGGUUCGGGAGGAGGUAGCAGGAUCCACUCAAACACUAAAGUGAAAGUGUGUUGAAUCAAGAGUAGAUAGUAAGCACCUUUAUUAUGAUCGUUUCAUUUGA
RNAcentral lists this ribosomal RNA (102 nucleotides) under Triticum aestivum (bread wheat). Its description in RNAcentral is "partial small subunit ribosomal RNA". Lineage: Eukaryota; Viridiplantae; Streptophyta; Magnoliopsida; Poales; Poaceae. The record is from RNAcentral.